This 477-nucleotide ribosomal RNA is filed under the name uncultured bacterium. Its description in RNAcentral is "SSU rRNA". It matches the Rfam family "Bacterial small subunit ribosomal RNA", at positions 26 to 518 of the family's 1533-position model. The record is from RNAcentral.
AGGACGAACGCUGGCGGCGUGCUUAACACAUGCAAGUCGAGCGAGGCCCUUCCUUCGGGGAGGUGUCCUAGCGGCGAACGGGUGAGUAACACGUGGGCAACCUGCCCUCAGCUCUGGGAUAACUCCGGGAAACCGGGGCUAAUACCGGAUAUGACCACCUUGGGCAUCUUGGGUGGUGGAAAGUUUUUCGGCUGAGGAUGGGCCCGCGGCCUAUCAGCUUGUUGGUGGGGUGAUGGCCUACCAAGGCGACGACGGGUAGCCGGCCUGAGAGGGUGACCGGCCACACUGGGACUGAGACACGGCCCAGACUCCUACGGGAGGCAGCAGUGGGAAUAUUGCGCAAUGGGCGGAAGCCUGACGCAGCGACGCCGCGUGAGGGACGAAGGCCUUCGGGUUGUAAACCUCUUUCAGCAGGGACGAAGCGAAAGUGACGGUACCUGCAGAAGAAGCACCGGCCAACUACGUGCCAGCAGCCGC